Molecule: long non-coding RNA, 4163 nt
Organism: Loxodonta africana (African savanna elephant)
Lineage: Eukaryota; Metazoa; Chordata; Mammalia; Proboscidea; Elephantidae
Exons: 3
Source: RefSeq, a predicted model, not a curated record
GCUGGGGCGCGGAGAGGCGGCCUCGGCUGCUCUCGGGAAGGGCUGUCCGAUUCUCCACGCAUUCUUUCGGGCUUGGUCAGCCCCUCCCGGUGGCGGCAUAGUUUUCCCAGUGCGUGUCCAUCACUCAUUCACAAAGACUGACACACAGGACGUGAGGCAUGGGGACCGCGGGGCGUGCGUGCCGAGGCGCGGGGUCCGGCAGCCAGCGUCCCCAAAGGGCUCCGCGAAGUCUGGACUCCGGCGGAGUUCUGGACCAGUGUAGCACUCCCUCCAAGCUUGGACAUCCCUCCAGAAUGCAGCUAGUCUUUCAUUGCCACCUGGAACAGAUGAAGCAUUUACUUGCUGGUGUCAAAUACAUGUGUUGACCAGUUGCCCAGAAGCACCCUUGGGAAAGGGCAGCCUUGAAUAGCUCUGUCUAAAAUUAUAAGCAGGGGCAGCCCUAGGCUCCAAGAGAUCAGAGCCGUCAUGCUGGGCCGGAACAAAGACCCUGCUUUUUCCCAACAAUUAGCCCUGCAAAAAGGACAUCUAUCUCCCUCUAUUAAAACCACCACGUGCCUUCAAGUCAGCCCAUUGUAAAGCUAAUUAAAUAACACGCCUCUCUCCCCAUGCUGGUCUCCUGAUUAACUUUCCUCUGUCCAAAAACCUCUGCAAAGAGCCUAGAGAUAGACAGGCCAAUGUUCCAAGUCCCCUGCGUCCCCCAUCACCAAUUGCAAGCAGUUAGUUGAAAAGCCACCCUCAUCAAUAGUGUGGAGUUUGUUCAUGCAUCAUGCACUAGUCACCAGUAGCUCUGCCUCUUGUCACUUCUAGUUCACAUGGACAGAUAAAAUUUGUAUUAUUUUAAAAAUAAGUCAUUUGGAAAAGCAAAAGUUUCUGUCAAGACAGAAAAUCUUUGGUGGGAAUCCACCCACCUCACAGUGGGAAAGUGCUGCAGUUGAGAGCAUUUGUCAAGGACUUUCACAAAGGAUGCGGAGCCAGGGAAACAAGAUGGCCAGAGGCAGUUCUCCACUCUUUGUAGAUGCACUCAGACCCCUGUGAAAGAUGGAGUGCAACUUCUUAGAAGGGCGGUAUGUAGGAAAGCGGAGAUAAAAUAAAACAUUUCAAGCAAGUUUUUUAAAAUAUGUUGCAAAAAUAUCAUGCUACCCCUCAGGUUAAAUUCCUUCAAGAAGAUAAAAUCCAGUUUAUAGCAAAGACCUUUAAUGAUUAGCAUCAGUCCACCUUUAAGCCAGUGGUGCAAACAGUUAAGACACUUAGCUGCUAAUCAAAAGGUUGGAAGUUCAAGUCCACCCAGGGGUACCUUGGAAGAAAGGCCUGGUGACUUACUUCCAGAAGAUCACAGCCAUUGAAAACCUUAUGGAGCAGUUCUACUCUGACACACAUGAGGUUGCCACCAGUCGGAUCUGACUCCACAACAACUGGUUACCUUUCAGCUGCAUUUCACCUUCUUUCCUGCAGAGGCACCCUGCUCUCCAACAUCCUGGACUUGUUGGUAUUCGUUUAACAAACCCUAGUGGUUUUUUUUUUUUUUUUUUUUUAGUGGUUUACACUUUUGGGAACUUUUACGGGCUGAUCAACGUGUGCCACUCAUUCCUCAAAACUCAGCAGCAAGCAUCGCCUUCCCUGUGAAGGUUUCCCAGACCAACCCAGAUAAAAUCAGGCACUUCGUCCUCUGAGCCCUCACAACACAUUCCCUUCAAGUCAGUACAUACAGGCUUCUAGUCUAGCACUUAGUACAUUGCUGAAAUAAUUCAGGCUCCUCAAGGGCAGGAACGAUAUUCCAUUCAAAUUAGAACCUCAAGCUUAAAACACAAUGACUUAGACAUAGUAAAUGCUUAAUAAGUGUUAAAAGAAUAUGCUACUGAAUAAAUGAGCAAGUGAAUGAAAAGGGAUGUAUGAAUAAAUAAAUGAAUGAGUGAAAGGAACCACUCUUUCAUAUUAACUGUGAUCCGGGAUGGUACAUUCAGGUCUGCUUCCAGCUUCACUACAGAUGGCUUCAAAUGCUUAGAAAAGGCUAUCAUUUUAUAAUUUGGUUUUCUCCAUUUAAAAUUAUUUCAGAUUUCAUACACACGCACACACAUACACACACACACUUAUACAAUUUUUUUUAAAUAACAAAAAUGGAAGGUGACCAGAUCAGUCAUUUUCUAAAUACAUGCAAUAGUUCUAGAGCAUAACUUUUCCAACCAACACCAGUCUGAGGUUUCUAGUUCAUUUACUCUUUAGACCAUACAAACCUCUCCUACAAAGUGUUUUUGAAAAGAUCCACCAGUCUUCUUGGACAUCCAUACAGAUGAGUGGAUGACUAAAUCAUAAAGUAAUCCCAUAUACAAUUUAAGUUUCCAACGAAAUACUCUUGGGCUUCAAAAUUAGCAGGGAAAAAAAAAAAAUUAAGGCACUUGGCAAAAUAGAUUUUGAGCUCUGCCAAAUCCCCAAGCAGCCAAAGUCACUGAAUGAUUUCCAUCCCUAAAACAUAAAGCCUUGUAGCAAAAGUCACUGUCUGAUGAUUCUUGUGUAAUUUCAAUGCUGGGCUUGAUGACAUUUGGGGUCAGUUCUUCCUUGGUGUUUUUUACCAUCACAAUCUCAACUUAAAACAAUGUGUUUUCCUAGCUAGUUGAGGGUACCUUCCAUAUAGACAGAGAUGUCAAGGAAAAACGAGACAGAGAAAGAGUCCAUGAGCAUGCCACAGUAAGUAAUCCUGUCAGUAGAGACCAUGACCUCCAACAUGAUACUAAGAGAGAAAACACUGCCAUUCAUUUAGCAGUCACUUUGUUCUGGCAAGUCUCCGACAUGCUAAUGUGGAAUGCCCAUUUUUUAAUGAUCAUAAUGGAUUGGAAGCUGAUAAAAUUAGACUCUGGCUAGCAAUAAGCUCUUUAUUACUCUCCUUUACCACAGUUGGCCUCCAUUCUCAGAUCUUUAAGAAAGGCUAAUUCAAGACCUUUAAGAUAUGUGGACAAUAGGCCAAUAAAUGAAGACUAAUAGAGCUGCAUUUUUAUAUAGAUUUGAUACCCCCAGAUACAGCUUGGCAUAAAUAAAAGCAGCCAUCAUGUAAAAAAAAAUCACACCUGUUAAUUUAUCAAGGGCAGAUCAAAUAAACUGCAUGGCAGAAAUGAACCUUUACGGGAAAGUUAAACAGAACAUGGUAGAAAAAGAAUGGUUAGACAUGAGCUUUAAUCAAAGAGUAAGGAUAUAAGACAAGAAAUAUGUAUUGUAACUGUGAGCACUGUCGUGGCAAUAUUGGGCACAAUAAUUUAAAAAAACAAAGAACCAAACCCAUUGCCAUUGAGUUGAUUCUGACUCAUAGCAACCCUACAAGACAGAGUAGAAUUGCCCCAUAGGGUUUCCAAGGAGCGGCCAGUGGAUCUGAACUGCUGACUUUUUGGUUAGCAGCUGAGAUCUUAACCACUGCACCACCAGGGCUACACUGGUAAAUACAAUAAUUGUGAAUAAGGUCUUAUAGAAUAGCAUAUGUUAUGUGGGAUAGAAAUAGCUACUUUAAAUUCAGUUGAGGUUUUGAGCAAUAUUAAAAGGCAUAGUAUAGACAAAUCAAGACACACAAGAGACCUCUCAUUAGGAGGAAAAAAGCUCAGAACUGACUGUAGGGAGCAGCCCUGUUGAUAGUUCAUGUCAAUACAUUCCAGUCAGCAGCUUAUUUAAACAACAACUUCAGAGUAAGUUCACCAUCUAAUUCUGCAAAUGGAGUCUCUUAGAAUUACAGUUAGGAGACACCCGUUCACCUUAUCUUUAUAGAGUUUGGGCUAUUUUAAGUGCUCUAUGUGCCAAACCUCAUAACUCAAUGUGAAUACACAUUACUCCUUUACUCUGACAGAAAUAACAAUAAUGCCUUACCUUGGGAAGUCCCAGAGCACUUCCAAUAUUAUCUCACAGCACCUCGGAGAAAUGGCUAAAAGGAGGGGCAGGCAGCCCAGCCUUUCUGCACGUAUGUGUCUGUCCAGAGUCUACAGUCUCUCUCCAGUGUUUUGCAAAACUCUGAUCCAAGUCGUCUUUGCAGAGUACUAAAGACACACAUUAGUUCAGCAACUUCAAAUUGCUCAUGUGUCCAAAAUCUCUCACCUGCUACUCAAAGGAAGACCUUCAAAUGGGGGUUCUAUCCUGAUAAAUCUUUUGUCAUCAUUUGUUGAAUUUCUUAAUAAACCUCUUAUCAUGUA